This 995-nucleotide long non-coding RNA is filed under the name Piliocolobus tephrosceles (Ugandan red Colobus). RNAcentral's name for it is "lncRNA (ENSPTEG00000003318.1)". The record is from RNAcentral. Lineage: Eukaryota; Metazoa; Chordata; Mammalia; Primates; Cercopithecidae.
AAAUAAUACAACAAUAAUACAUAAAUACACGCAAACAAAAAAAAAAAUGCAUAAACAGAUUACAGCGUAUUAUUUCAAAACAUCUCAUUUCAAUUAUACAUAUACAUAUAUACAUAUAUUUUUUUUUAUGGUAAUUUUAGCGAAUUAAGCAAUGUAAAUCAAUCAGAAGAAUUAAUCAGACUUCAAAAAGAAAAUGAAAAAUUAAGAAAUAAAAUAGAAUCUGAUACAAAUAAAGAAUCAAAGAGAGUGAAAGAAGUUAGUUUAAUAACUUUAUUAUGCAUUCAAGUUGUAUACAAAUUCACACAUAUGUAUAUAUGUAUGGUACACCUAAGUUAGUGAGAAAAUUUAUUUUACAUAUUUUUUUUACGUAACCGUAUUUUUACCCUGUUUUAUUUUAGCUUGAAAAAGAACUCAAGGAUUUGAAAGAAAUAAAUAACAAUUUAAAGAAUGAAGUAUUAAAAGACACAAAUAAUAACAACGCUCAAACUAAUCCACAACAGGAGAAAUAUGAAGCACAAAAUGAAAAAAUCAUCAAAUUAGAAGCUGAGCUAUUAAUUGAAAAAAAAAAAUAGUACAAUUAUUGAAGAAACGACUAAAAAUAAAUUAACAAAGGAAUUUAAUGCUGCAUUGCAAAUUUUUAAAGAACAAUUACAAAUUAGGGAAAAGGAAACUGAAUAUUACAAAGAAACAAUGAAAACACAGAUAGAUACUUUUAAAGACGAACAAAAAUUAUUAAGCGAUAUUAUUCACAACUUAGGCCUAAAAUAUAAACAAUUACAAACUUAUAAUCUUUGUUUAAAGAAUGAAAUUACAGGAAUUAAAUUAAGAACCAAAGCUUGUACAAAUUCCGACAACAAAUAAAAUCCCAGUUUUAUACAUAUAUAAUACUCCUUACAAUUAUUUUUUUUCUGUUUUUAAAUUAUUUUAAUUUUUUAAUAAGUCAAAACAUCAACAAAAUAACAUCAUGAAUAAAGUAAAUACUUCAUAUUUGUACA